Molecule: ribosomal RNA, 838 nt
Filed under: uncultured Rhabdolaimus
Lineage: Eukaryota; Metazoa; Nematoda; Enoplea; Enoplida; Rhabdolaimidae
Description: SSU rRNA
Rfam family: Eukaryotic small subunit ribosomal RNA
Source: RNAcentral
AAUUCACUCCAAUAGCAUAUAUUAAAGUAGUUGCGGUUAAAACGCCCGUAGUUUGAUCAGCGGAUUUGGAGAACGGUCUGCCGAUGGGCUGUACUGUUCUCCUGUCCUAUUUUCUCUAGUUCGCUCUAGGUGCUCUUCACUGAGUGUCUAGAGUGGCUGGAACUUUUACUUUGAAAAAAUUAGAGUGCUCAAAGCAGGCGUCUCAGUCUGAAUAGUGGUGCAUGGAAUAAUGGAAUAGGACCUCAGUUCUAUUUUGUUGGUUUUCGGAACAUGAGGUAAUGAUUAAGAGGGACAGACGGGGGCAUUCGUAUUGCGACGUUAGAGGUGAAAUUCUUGGAUCGUCGCAAGACGAAACUACUGCGAAAGCAUUUGCCAAGAAUGUUUUCAUUAAUCAAGGACGAUAGUUAGAGGUUCGAAGGCGAUCAGAUACCGCCCUAGUUCUAACCGUAAACGAUGUCAACCAGCGAUCCGCAGGGAGUUAUUCAUGACUCUGCGGGCAGCUUCCGGGAAACCAAAGUUUUUGGAUUCCGGGGGGAGUAUGGUUGCAAAGCUGAAACUUAAAGGAAUUGACGGAAGGGCACCACCAGGAGUGGAGCUUGCGGCUUAAUUUGACUCAACGCGGGGAAACUCACCCGGCCCGGACACCGUAAGGAUUGACAGAUUGAGAGCUCUUUCUUGAUUCGGUGGGUGGUGGUGCAUGGCCGUUCUUAGUUGGUGGAGCGAUUUGUCUGGUUAAUUCCGAUAACGAACGAGACUCUAGCCUACUAAAUAGAAGGCAAAUUAUUCGUUUGCUGUACUUCUUAGAGGGACUAUGGGGCGUCUAGCCUCACGAGAUUGA